ACUUGAAUAGCUUAAUUUUUAGAGCAUAGUAUUGAAGAUACUAAGGAGAUUAAUAAAUCUUUAAGUA
This 67-nucleotide transfer RNA is filed under the name Episymploce sundaica. Its description in RNAcentral is "tRNA-Phe". The record is from RNAcentral. Lineage: Eukaryota; Metazoa; Arthropoda; Insecta; Blattodea; Blattellidae.